RNAcentral lists this ribosomal RNA (558 nucleotides) under uncultured Gammaproteobacteria bacterium. Its description in RNAcentral is "bacterial SSU rRNA". It matches the Rfam family "Bacterial small subunit ribosomal RNA", at positions 214 to 763 of the family's 1533-position model. The record is from RNAcentral. Lineage: Bacteria; Pseudomonadati; Pseudomonadota; Gammaproteobacteria.
UGCGCUAAUAGAUGAGCCUAAGUCAGAUUAGCUAGUUGGUGGGGUAAAGGCCUACCAAGGCGACGAUCUGUAGCGGGUCUGAGAGGAUGAUCCGCCACACUGGGACUGAGACACGGCCCAGACUCCUACGGGAGGCAGCAGUGGGGAAUAUUGGACAAUGGGCGAAAGCCUGAUCCAGCCAUGCCGCGUGUGUGAAGAAGGCCUUUUGGUUGUAAAGCACUUUAAGCGAGGAGGAGGCUACUUAGAUUAAUACUCUAGGAUAGUGGACGUUACUCGCAGAAUAAGCACCGGCUAACUCUGUGCCAGCAGCCGCGGUAAUACAGAGGGUGCGAGCGUUAAUCGGAUUUACUGGGCGUAAAGCGUGCGUAGGUGGCUUCUUAAGUCGGAUGUGAAAUCCCUGAGCUUAACUUAGGAAUUGCAUUCGAUACUGGGAAGCUAGAGUAUGGGAGAGGAUGGUAGAAUUCCAGGUGUAGCGGUGAAAUGCGUAGAGAUCUGGAGGAAUACCGAUGGCGAAGGCAGCCAUCUGGCCUAAUACUGACGCUGAGGUACGAAAGCAUG